RNAcentral lists this ribosomal RNA (445 nucleotides) under uncultured bacterium. RNAcentral's name for it is "partial 16S ribosomal RNA". It matches the Rfam family "Bacterial small subunit ribosomal RNA", at positions 354 to 796 of the family's 1533-position model. The record is from RNAcentral.
GUGAGGAAUAUUGGUCAAUGGGCGCAAGCCUGAACCAGCCAUGCCGCGUGCAGGAAGACGGUCCUAUGGAUUGUAAACUGCUUUUAUUUGGGAAUAAACUCCGGUACGUGUACCGGCCUGAAGGUACCAAAUGAAUAAGCACCGGCUAACUCCGUGCCAGCAGCCGCGGUAAUACGGAGGGUGCAAGCGUUAUCCGGAAUCAUUGGGUUGAAAGGGUCCGCAGGCGGUCUUAUAAGUCAGUGGUGAAAGCCUACAGCUCAACUGUAGAACUGCCAUUGAUACUGUAGGACUUGAAUUCGAUCGAAGUGGGCGGAAUGUGACACGUAGCGGUGAAAUGCUUAGAUAUGUCACAGAACACCGAUAGCGAAGGCAGCUCACUAGGUCUGGAUUGACGCUCAGGGACGAAAGCGUGGGGAGCAAACAGGAUUAGAUACCCCAGUAGUCC